Molecule: transfer-messenger RNA, 399 nt
Filed under: Candidatus Peribacteraceae
Lineage: Bacteria; Candidatus Peregrinibacteriota; Candidatus Peribacteria; Candidatus Peribacterales
Also listed under: 1 other name
Description: JAGORY01 sp018062585 Standard tmRNA
Rfam family: transfer-messenger RNA
About the family: Bacterial tmRNA, also known as 10Sa RNA or SsrA, is named for its dual tRNA and mRNA-like properties. Its role is to liberate the mRNA from a stalled ribosome.
Source: RNAcentral
GGGGAUGACAGGCUUCGACAGCGUGAAUCUGCGUUGUUUGUGUCUCGAUCCGGGAUUGCUCUGGUUCCCGUUACCCACCGUUGCACCACAUAAUUGCCAAAAGCAAUUUCAUGGCUCGCGUGAAGGAGGUAGCGAACUCUGUUCGUUUGCCUUCCCUCGUUGCGGCCUAAGGUCUGAUUCAGUUCGGACCGCGUUUCUCUCUUGAUCCUCGCUGGAGAGAUGAAACGUCACUAGCGAGGUUGGAUUCCGACUGACGUGACGGACUCCUGACUAAAGCGUCAUCACUUCCGCCCUUUUCUCUGUUGUUCUCCUAUUGGGUGGAAGAACUGAGAACAACAUGAUCGUACAGACCUUCGGCGUACACGUUGGACCCGGGUUCAACUCCCGGCAUCUCCACCA